UCGGGUUGGUUCUGAUAACGUCGCGUUUGUGAGGAUUCGUUCAACUUCGUCCGCUUGUCUACUUCAUCGACUCGUUCUUCUUCCUUGCGGGAUCUCAGGCAAGAUGACCAUACCCUCAAAAUCACUUCUAUCUUUGCUUGCUAGUUGUUCGCUCUAUUGAUAUGCCGCGAUACCUACCACUUGCUAUAUCAUGCCUCCCAUAUUGCCAUGUCGAGCCUCUAACCCAUCUUCCUAGCAAACCGUUGUUUGGCUGUGUUACCGCUUUUGCUCAGCCCCUCUUAUAGCGUUGCUAGUUGCAGGUGAAGUUGAAGUUUGUUCCAUGUUGGAACAUGGAUACGUUGGGAUACCACAAUAUCUAUUAUGUUAAAUUAAUGCAUCUAUAUACUUGGUAAAGGGUGGAAGGCUCGACCUUGUGCCUAGUGUUUUUUUCCACUCUUGCCGCUCUAGUUUCCGUCAUACCAGUGUUAUGUUCCUUGAUUUUGCGUUCCUUACGUGGUUGAGUGUUAUGGGAACCCCUUGACACUUCGCUUUGAAUAAAACUCCUCCAGCAAGGCCCAACCUUGGUUUUACAUUUUCCUAACAACCUAUAACCUUCCCUUGGGUUUUCGCGAGCCCGAGGGUCAUCUUUAUUUUAACCCCCCGGGCCAGUGCUUCUCUAAGUGUUGGUCCGAGCUGGGCGAUGUCCGGCGCCCCCUGGGAAACCAGGGUCUAUGCCAACCCAACGUCUUGCCCAUCCGGUGUGCCCUAAGAACGAGAUAUGUGUAGCUCCUAUCGAGAUUUGUUGGCACAUUCGGGUGGCUUUGCUGGUCUUGUUUUACCAUUGUCGAAAUGUCUUGUAACCAGGAUUCCGAGACUGACUGGGUCUUCUCGGGAGAAGGAAUAUCCUUCAUUGACCGUGAGAGCUUGUGAUGGGCUAAGUUGGGACACCCCUGCAGGGUUUGAACUUAUGAAAGCCGUGCCCGCGGUUAUGGGCAGAUGAGAAUUUGUUAAUAUCCGGUUGUAGAGAACUUGACACUUAACUUAAUUAAAAUGAAUCAACCGCGUGUGUAGCCAUGAUGGUCUCUUUCCGGCAGAGUCCGGGAAUUGAACACGGUUCUUGUGUUAUGUUUGAACGUAAGUAGAUUCAGGAUCACUUCUUGAUCACUUCUAGCUUCUCGACCGUUGCGCUGCUUCUCUUCUCGCUCUUAUUUGCGUAUGUUAGCCACCAUAUAUGCUUAGUGCUUGCUGCAGCUCCACCUCACUACCCUUUCCUACCCAUAAGCUUAAAUAGUCUUGAUCUCGCGGGUGUGAGAUUGUUGAGUCCUCGUGACUCACAGAUACUUCCAAACAGUUACAGGUGCCAAUGAUACCAGUGCAGGUGACGCAACCCAGCUCAAGUGGGAGCUUGAUUAAGAUCUUGACCGUUGUCUUGUUUCGUUUCCUGUUGAUCAGUAGUGGAGCCCAGUCAGGACGAUUGGGGAUCUAGCAUUUGGGGUGUCUUCUUUUAUUUUGGUUCUGUAGUCGGACCUUGAUUGUAUUCUGGAUGAUGUAUGUUUAACUUGUAUUUGUGUGAAGUGGCGAUUGUAAGCCAAUUCUUUAUCCCUUUCUUAUUCAGUACAUGGGAUGUGUGAAGAUUACCCCUGUUGCGACAUGCCUACCAUGCGACUAUGCCUCUAAGUCGUGCCUUGACACGUGGG
RNAcentral lists this long non-coding RNA (1676 nucleotides) under Triticum aestivum (bread wheat). RNAcentral's name for it is "long non-coding RNA (TAES_LNC005352)". The record is from RNAcentral. Lineage: Eukaryota; Viridiplantae; Streptophyta; Magnoliopsida; Poales; Poaceae.